GUGCUAGCUUCAGCAGCACAUAUACAAAAUUGAAUGAUAUAGAGAAAAUUAACAUGGCCCCUGAGCAAGGAUGAUAGACGAAUUUGUGAACCGGGUCUAUAUUUU
RNAcentral lists this small nuclear RNA (105 nucleotides) under Dasypus novemcinctus (nine-banded armadillo). The record is from RNAcentral. Lineage: Eukaryota; Metazoa; Chordata; Mammalia; Cingulata; Dasypodidae.